This is a small nucleolar RNA of Eptesicus fuscus (big brown bat), 127 nucleotides long. RefSeq annotates it as small nucleolar RNA SNORA38. NCBI's taxonomy places the organism in Eukaryota, Metazoa, Chordata, Mammalia, Chiroptera, Vespertilionidae. The record is from RefSeq and is a predicted model, not a curated record. The transcript has a single exon.
CCCUUCUACAAAGGCAUGUCUGUGGUUUCCCUGUCUUUGGACGUAACUGGAGGCAAAGAAAUGUGAACUUGGAGAAGUCUGGAACCUCAAGACUUCCUGCAGGCUCAAGAUUAACCAUCCCACAUAG